This 253-nucleotide ribosomal RNA is filed under the name uncultured bacterium. RNAcentral describes it as "partial 16S ribosomal RNA". It matches the Rfam family "Bacterial small subunit ribosomal RNA", at positions 524 to 776 of the family's 1533-position model. The record is from RNAcentral.
UACGAAGGUCCCAAGCGUUAUCCGGAUUUAUUGGGUUUAAAGGGUGCGUAGGCGGCUUAUUAAGUCAGUGGUGAAAGCUCCAUGCUUAACAUGGAAAUUGCCAUUGAUACUGAUGAGCUUGAGUAGAUUUGAAGUGGGCGGAAUGUGUCGUGUAGCGGUGAGAUGCUUAGAUAUGACACAGAACACCGAUUGCGUAGGCAGCUCACUAAACUCUCACUGACGCUGAGGCACGAAAGCAUGGGGAUCAAACAGG